Long non-coding RNA from Triticum aestivum (bread wheat), 2493 nucleotides. RefSeq lists it as uncharacterized. The transcript has 3 exons. The record is from RefSeq and is a predicted model, not a curated record. Lineage: Eukaryota; Viridiplantae; Streptophyta; Magnoliopsida; Poales; Poaceae.
GCUCCCCCUCGCCCCCCUUCGCCGAUUCGCCGCCUCCGCCCCGGCCUCCCGCCCCUACGCGCGCCCCUGAGGCAAACCCUAGCUCGCCGGCGCGGCGGUGUGGUGGCCGUCUUCCGCUCCUCCUCCCGAGCCCCCGCGCCCCUGCCUCGGCUACUCGGCGCGGGCUUCCUCGGCCACGACGCCUUCUGGUCCAAGGGCGGUGGCGGUGGUCGUUCCCACUUCCUCUCCGUCUCGGUCCAGCCUGAUUCGAGCUUCCUGGACAGCCACAAGGCAUGCCUUGGCCGCCAUUGAGCAGAAUGCCGCUGGUGGCCAGCGGCGACAGAGUGCCGUCUCAGCGGACAAGGGAGUAUCAAGCGAGACAUCAUCAUCAUCAAGCGAGCAUGGGAGUUUUUCCUGCAAGCAAGUAUCUCAUUAUCCUUACCUUCAUCUGAACCACACCUGCAUUUUUAAAUCUUUGGAGAUGGCGUAGGAUAAGGCCCAGAUGAACGCUUGUGGAAAUAGUACAGCCCCACUGUUAGGAGUACAAGUUUAGUAUUUUUCCUAAUCUAAUUAUACGGCCACGUUGAUCACACCUUACUAAUUCUGGCCGCCGUAGUACCUAGAUCAGUCGGAGAAAUGGACUGCAAUUUGGGGAGCAAAAACUGCAUCAAUUCCUAAUGUAGAUGGAAUAACACUUAAUAAUUGGGGCUCUGACUUGUCACUGGUACCUUCCCAUAAUUUCCAAACUGUAGGGGGUCACUGGUAUAUGCAUGAGUAGUUGGCUUCAGAUUGAAUAAAUUAUCUGAACAUCAGCAAACAAAGGAGAAACCAGUAAGCUUUAGUAAUCAUGAACAUCGACAGUGCUACUCACUGAAAUCUACCAUAUGAAGUUGUAAAUUUCUCACAAGCUGAAAAGCGUACAGGAUCCAUGACUGAAAUGAGUGGAGGAGGGUAAGUUUCUAGGAUAACUGACUAAGAAAAGAGCGACAUACUUGUGCUGAAAUUAGCAGGAUCUUCUAUUCUGAAUCCAGCAGAGUGUGUGAGCGCCCCGAAAUCAGCGACUCGGGAAGGCUGCAUGAUGCUCACAUCUGUUGGGCUGCAAGAAACUUCCACCACAGCGUAUGUACUACAGUUGUUGGUUAGACUAUAGAUAAGCUUCAGGCUGGUUGCCUGCCUGACAGUCAUCCUCUCGUGAGGAUUCUGGAGCAGAAGCCAUAAGAGCUGCUGCUCAGGUAGUGCGAGGGGAGCAUCGUGUUUUCUAUGAGAUGAUGGAACAUCACGAACGAUCUUUUGUUCGUUGAAUUGAUCCUACGCUUAAAUUACUCCUUGCAAUUUUGGACUGAAUGUGCUGAGACGGUCGGUUCAACUACUACUAGCAUCAUCAGAGUUGCAGAGUAGUGACUGACUGACGGACGGAUGGACGGGGUGUGAGGGGCUGGCUCACCGAGGUAGAAGGUCUUGGCGUACUCGGCGCAGACCUCGCCGCAGCGGUCGUAGGCGUCGCCGAGGAGGCUCCAGCCGAGCUCGGCGUCGCCCUCCUGCUCCAGCUGCUCGUCCCGCCACCGGCGGCGCUGGCCGUAUAAUUUGAGAGCUCAUCCAAUGUUUUCUUACUAAUUUGAGAGCAGCCAUCAGUUUAGCUUGCUGUCCCAAAAUAUAUGUUCCUGGGUACAGUAUUUUGAUAUGGGACAUUAGGCCUUGUUAGAGGUGGUAUUAAAAUACAACAUGGAAAUUUUAGAGGUUGUUCUGUAGAUACUUAAACACAUAUCACUUGUCAGGUAUAGUUUCGUAUAUUAAAUCCUAUGAAAUUAUCAAGGUGGGUUGUACUAUGUUGGACAGAAUUUUAUGUUUAGACUUGGGUGAAUGUAACCAGACUUAUACUCUCAAAUUUUGUCAUAGUUGAUGGUGUGAGGACUUAUAAUGUGAUAAAGUAUAUACGUUGUUGCAACACCAAAAUCAGUGAAAUAUAUUGUCUUUUUUGCUGCCGAUGAUAUCUCCUAGAAUCUUUAAUCCAUAAAGUAAGGAUUUAGAUAACAUCAUAUGUUUAGAGUUCAGUUCUUUUCUUAGCUUAAACUAACAUAUUUUACAAUGUGCGUGAUGGAUGUUGCGGGUUCAUUGAUGACAGACAAGGGUUCAUGCUCGGAAACGACUACAUCUUGCUCCAUGUUGUCGGCUCAGCUAGAGUCCUUAAUCAUGAGGAGAUGGGACACGUCGAUUGUUAGAGUACACUUGACAGGGGUGAUCGACGCUUACUAGCACGGCGGGUGGGCGUUGUGCUCUUCAAUCACUCAGAGGCGGACUUGUCCGUGAAGCCGGUGGCCAUGUCACGUAGAUGAUUGUCCAGGUGAUUUCGACGCCAGAGGUCGUCGAGGAGGAGGACCUCGACACCACCGUCCGGGGGGGGGGAGGAUUCGGGUCCGCCGGCAUCUAAGCUCCGAGCCUUGGUAGAUACAUUGUGACGCCCGGAUAAUUAAGCUACAAUAAUCCCACGCUAAUGAUGCCACGUCACCACGGUUA